UUUUUAGGUCACCUGAGUAACUCAGGUGACCUAUUGCUAUCCGUUUUCGUCCGUCGUCGUGCGUCGUGUGUCGUGCGUCGUGCGUCGUGUGUCGUGUGUUAACAUUUGAACAUUUUCAGCUUCUUUUCUGAAACCACUGAACCAAUUUCAACCAAAUUUGGUAUACAGCAUCUAUGGGUAAAGGAGAACAAAAAUUGUGAAUUUCAUGGUCCCCGCCCCCCUGGGGCCUAAGGGGUGGGGCCAAAACCACUAAAAUUAUUGCAAUCUUUAAAAAUCUUCUUCUUUACUCAUGGACAUUGAGCAGGCAAACUGUUAGCAUGAAUGUAAUAAGCAUUGAGUCCUCUACCAAAAUUGUGAAAUUCAUGGCCCCAGGGUCAGGGGUUCUAGUGCUAGGGCGGGGCUAUAUAGAUUGUAUAGUGAAAAUGCAUUAUUUCUUUGAAAAUCUUCUUCUCUGCUCCUGGGUAUUAAAUAAACUAUCUAAGUACAUAGUUAUGAUUAGCAAGAGUGCCUCUUCCAGAUUUUUGAAUUUUAUGGCCCCAGGGUCAGGGGUUCUGGUGUUAGGGCGGGGCUCUAUAGAUUAUAUAGUGAAAAUGCAUUUAUUCUUUGAAAAUCUUCUUCUCUGCUUCUGGGUAUUAAAUAAACUAACUAAGUACAUAGUUAUGAUGAGCAAGAGUGCCUCUUCCAGAUUUGUGAAUUUUAUGGCCCCAGGGUCAGGGGUUCUGGUGUUAGGGCGGGGCUCUAUAGAUUAUAUAGUGAAAAUGCAUUUAUUCUUUGAAAAUCUUCUUCUCUGCUUCUGGGUAUUAAAUAAACUAACUAAGUACAUGUACAUAGUUAUGAUGAGCAAGAGUGCCUCUUCCAGAUUUGUGAAUUUUAUGGCCCCAGGGUCAGGGGUUCUGGUGUUAAGGCGGGGCUCUAUAGA
Long non-coding RNA from Saccostrea cuccullata (small rock oyster), 919 nucleotides. RefSeq lists it as uncharacterized. Lineage: Eukaryota; Metazoa; Mollusca; Bivalvia; Ostreida; Ostreidae. The record is from RefSeq and is a predicted model, not a curated record. The transcript has 2 exons.